GGCCUACCAUGGUGGUAACGGGUAACGGGGUGUUAGGGCACGACACCGGAGAGGGAGCCUGAGAAACGGCUACCACAUCCAAGGAUGGCAGCAGGCGCGCAAAUUACCCAAUCCCGACACGGGGAGGUAGUGACAAUAAAUAACAAUACGGGGCUCUUUAGGGUCUCGUAAUUGGAAUGAGUACAAUUUAAAUCUCUUAACGAGGAACAAUUGGAGGACAAGUCUGGUGCCAGCAGCCGCGGUAAUUCCAGCUCCAAUAGCGUAUAUUAAAGUUGUUGCAGUUAAAAAGCUCGUAGUUGAAUUUCGGGGUCAGCAGGUUGGUCGUGCCACUGGUAUGCACUGGUUUCGCUGAUUCCUCCUUUCUGAAGAACUGUAAUGCCAUUAAUUUGGUGUUGCAGGGAAACAGGACUGUUACUUUGAAAAAAUUAGAGUGUUUAAAGCAGGCUAACGCUUGAAUACAUUAGCAUGGAAUAAUGAAAUAGGACGUUUGAUCCUAUUUUGUUGGUUUCUAGGAUUGACGUAAUGAUUAAUAGGGAUAGUUGGGGGCAUUAGUAUUCAAUUGUCAGAGGUGAAAUUCUUGGAUUUAUUGAAGACUAACUACUGCGAAAGCAUUUGCCAAGGAUGUUUUCAUUAAUCAAGAACGAAAGUUAGGGGAUCGAAGACGAUCAGAUACCGUCGUAGUCUUAACCAUAAACUAUGCCGACUAGGGAUCGGAUGAUGUUAAUUUUUUAAUGACUCAUUCGGCGCCUUACG
This 753-nucleotide ribosomal RNA is filed under the name uncultured Glomus. Its description in RNAcentral is "SSU rRNA". It matches the Rfam family "Eukaryotic small subunit ribosomal RNA", at positions 338 to 1092 of the family's 1831-position model. Lineage: Eukaryota; Fungi; Glomeromycota; Glomeromycetes; Glomerales; Glomeraceae. The record is from RNAcentral.